AUUCACAGCACGGGGAGUCCGGUAAGACCGGGCUGAGAGGAGGGCGAUCGAGCCCUCGACCCGCAGACCUGAUCCGGGUAAUGCCGGCGGAGGGAUGGCAAGCAACAUCGAA
RNAcentral lists this non-coding RNA (112 nucleotides) under Chloroflexota bacterium. RNAcentral describes it as "Chloroflexi bacterium TPP sequence". It matches the Rfam family "TPP riboswitch aptamer (THI element)". From Rfam's summary of the family: Vitamin B(1) in its active form thiamin pyrophosphate (TPP) is an essential coenzyme that is synthesised by coupling of pyrimidine and thiazole moieties in bacteria. The previously detected thiamin-regulatory element, thi box was extended, resulting in a new, highly conserved RNA secondary structure, the THI element, which is widely distributed in eubacteria and also occurs in some archaea. The record is from RNAcentral. Lineage: Bacteria; Bacillati; Chloroflexota.